AACGAACGCUGGCGGCAUGCCUAACACAUGCAAGUCGAACGAAACCUUCGGGUCUAGUGGCGCCCGGGUGCGUAACGCGUGGGAACCUGCCCUCAGGUUCGGAAUAACUCCCCGAAAGGGGUGCUAAUACCGGAUCAUGUCUUCGGACCAAAGAUUUAUCGCCUUUGGAUGUGCCCGCGUUGGAUUCGCUAGUUGGUAGGGUAAAAGCCUACCACGGCGACGAUCCAUAGCUGGUCUGAGAGAAUGAUCAGCCACACUGGGACUGAGACACGGCCCAGACUCCUACGGGAGGCGGCAGUGGGGAAUAUUGGAAAAUGGGCGAAGGCCUGAUCCAGCAAGGCCGCGUGAGUGAUGAAGGCCUUAGGGUUGUAAAGCUCUUUUACCCGGGAUGAUAAUGACAGUACCGGGAGAAUAAGCUCCGGCUAACUCCGUG
Molecule: ribosomal RNA, 433 nt
Filed under: uncultured bacterium
Lineage: Bacteria
Description: partial 16S ribosomal RNA
Rfam family: Bacterial small subunit ribosomal RNA
Source: RNAcentral